Microcebus murinus (gray mouse lemur) is the source of this 1852-nucleotide non-coding RNA. The record is from RefSeq and is a predicted model, not a curated record. Lineage: Eukaryota; Metazoa; Chordata; Mammalia; Primates; Cheirogaleidae.
UCCUCAAUAAAGUUAUAUUGAACAUUUAAAAAAAACAUAACUACUGUACUUGUAUACAUGUGACUAUAAAAUAAAGAUGCAAAAGGAAUCAGAAAUCAUGUAGGCAAAGGAGGAGAUGUUGUUCUGCCAAGAAACAGAAAUAAGUUCUUCCCUGUAACUAGUCUUAAAUUGGUCUCUGGGUUUCCUAGUAGGCAAAGUAAAAAAGGGAACACAAUGUGUUGCAAGCUCUUACUGUCAGGUGAAAGAAAGAGAGUAGAAGAAACAACUGUUUCCUACCAUUGAGUUCUAAACCAAAUUUAUCAGUGGAAUUAUAUGAAAAUGAAAUUGAGCAAGAUAUUAGAUUAUAUCUCCAGCAGUGAUCAUCAAAGGAUAUAGAAGCACCCUUCAUACCCAGACUUGUCAUUUGAAUCUUAAAUUAGACACAGUGCUCUGCCCCCAGGACAAACGUCUCACAGAGAUCUACAUUUUUUGAUCCCCUAUAGCUGUUGGAUAAACUCUUCUCCCUUCCUCGACUCAUAGUUUUUCAAGAGUGGUACACAUUCCUAGUUUCCACAUCACACCUCCUAUUCACUUCUUAAUUUGUGAAGCCAAACUUCUGCCCCGACUCUCACCUAAAGAUAGUUCUUCAAAAUGACUUCCUGGUCACCGUCCAUAGGCCUGUUUAUGACUUUUAUUCCUCUGCAGAUCUUCGCUCAGGUGCUAUAACAAAAUACCAGAGACCAAGUGGCUUAAACAACAGGCAUUGAUUUUCUCACUGUCUGGAGUCUGGGAAGUCCAAGAUCAAAGUGCCAGGCAGUUUGGUUCCUGGUGAAGGCCGGCUUCCUGGCUCACACAACCAACCUUGUCCCUGGGUCCUCACUUGGCUGAGACGAGGAGAAGGGGAGGGUGAUGUACAGCGAUCUGAGAAGCUGAUCAGGGCAUGGACCAUUUCCUCACCCUAAGCAGCAUCCCCAGAGGAAGACGACAAAGUCAGCAGGGAGCGGGAUGAUAGAAGGGCCAGGCCAGGACUCCAGGGACAGGAAAAACAUGUAAAAGAUGGGGCUGGGGGCUUUAAAAGGAAGAGAAGAGGGCAGAGCUCCAAGGAGUGGGGAAGUUGUCUAGGAGAAGACUAGACUCCAGCAGAGUUGAAGAGGGAAGCUGUAAGGAAGACUUGAAAGACACGACCAGGGAUCAUCACAGUGGCUAGUGUGAUCCUUGUCAUUUUCGAGUCCCAGAAAAGGACGCUGUGUGAACCAGGUGGACUCAGCUGGACUGGGAUUGAUUCCUGCCUCUACGCACGGAUUUGGUGAUUUGAGGGACGUGACUUAACCUUUCUGAGCUAUUUCUCAAAUGCUUGUUCUCAGGGUGUAAGGAUAUUGCUCCAGAGUUGCCCAGGACCAGGUCCUCAAUCAAAUGCAGAACAUAAGACAAGGGAGUCAACAUAAAGUUGGAAACUGACCUGACAGAUGACACGAGAGGGACGGAAACUUUGAGAACAAGGGUGGGAAACGUUCUGACUAUCUGUGUCUUAUGCCAUCUCUAUUCCUGAUUAUUUGGUUGAUUUUGUUUUUUUCCUUAAGCUAGUAUGAAUUGGGUUUCUGUGACUUGAGACUGCAAGUGUCAUGACUGAUGUGUCAACCCUCCAAAAAGAUUUUAGAGGAGAUCCCAUACCCACCCCCUCCUGUCCUAGCAUCUCUUAGAAGUUCUAAGAGAUGCUUAGAGAACAGAAUAUUCUUUAUUCUGUUGGAACAGAACUCUAAUUUUUUAUGUCCAUGGCUAUUCAGGUUCUGCAAUACCUUUUUCUAGAACUGAGGUUAAGAGGAUCUGCCUUUGGUCCUGACAAUGACCUUGUUGAUUACAGUAAUCUUAUUAU